CCCCGCCCCCCAACCGCAGGCUCCCGCGCGCCACCCCGAGGGGACGGGCGCCACCUCCUGCUACGCGGCACCCGGUCCCGUCAACCGCCCAACGGCUGAGGAGUGCGGCAGCGCGCCAGAGACUGGCGGGCAGCUCCGCCCGCGGCCGGGAUGCACUAGGCAAAGCCAGCUGGGCUCCUGAGUCCGGUGGGUACUUGGAGAACUUACUACGUCUAGCUGGAGGAUUGUAAAUGCACCAAUCAGCAUGCUGUGUCUAGCUCAAGAACUCAAGCUCCAUGAGGAGAUGUUUCAUUGUCGAGAGCAGUCAUGAUGGCCUGCACUCCACACAAUGCAACAGAGUGAAAGAGCAGGUUCUGCUUCUUUGGUGUAGUCCUGAAGCUUCCUAAGAAACUUCACAUCAGGUGAUGGAUAGGAGCAACCCUGUAAAACCAGCCUUAGACUAUUUUUCAAACAAUGAAGAAACUGAAGCUGAGAGAGGUUUAGUGAAUGACUGAAAAGGUUGUCAGGCUGCAGGGAAAAAAACAAAACAAAACUGUACGACUAGCCUGCAAUGCUUCCCAAAGUAUGUAGCUUAUUAUUAUUGGUCACUUUUUGAGUACAAAAUGCUGUGCUAUGUAACAAAAUAAUACAAUGUACAUAUGUAUAAAAGUUAACAUAUACAUAUCAAUUAACAUAAGCAUAACUGUAAUCACAUAUACUGAUAAAUAAAAAUAUAAAGUAAUAUAUGGUAAUGACCCAACCAUUUGCCUAAGUUUCAUGUAUUACAGAAGUUUUGAGGAGGGACUUCAGCUGUAUGCAAAUCAGCAAUUCGGGUUGUACAGUUGAUUACCCAUUAGUUCAGAAUUUUAAUAAUUUAAAAUAUAUUUAUUAAGAACCUAACAAUUGGAAGACCUUACAAUAGGUGGGAAAAUUCGACAGAUGAAUAAUGCUUAGGAGAUAUCAGCAUGUUUUGGAAGGAUAUUCCCAUGAAGAGAAAAAGUAUUGUGGGAAGUGUGGGAAGUGUUAUGGUGCGAGAGUAAUAUAGGUUCCAGCAUGUGUUUACAUUAUUUUGUUGGAGGUGUUGGGGAACCUUUCAUGGAAGGUGUGUGGUAGACUGUUGGACAGGUUUCCUCAACUUUCGUUCCACUCUUUGAAGAGGUUAGAAAA
This 1146-nucleotide long non-coding RNA is filed under the name Homo sapiens (human). RNAcentral's name for it is "HSALNT0327189". Lineage: Eukaryota; Metazoa; Chordata; Mammalia; Primates; Hominidae. The record is from RNAcentral.